AUUCAAGGAUGCGGAGAUUACGGCAUUAACGUUUGCAACAUAAAGACCGUAUCCGUUCUACAUUUAAGAGCGCCUCCUUCUUAACCAUUCUUUCACGCGCGUCUACGCGAUUCCGUUGUUAUUUACUACUUAGAAACUCGUCUUCCAAUUGAAAACUCGUAGUUUCUUCUUAGUCUCGGAACGAAUCGUUAACACCGAUAAGAGAAAAUAAUUGCGAACAACGCUUCUCGGGAAAAAUCCUCUCCUAGAGAAUAUCUUUCAUUUUGAUAAGACGUUUUAUACCAUAUUAGUAACCGUAUUUGAUUUAGAAUUCAGUUGUUUGAAUCUUUCUUGGCGACAAGAAAAAAGAAAAAAAAGAGCAAAAUAUAGCAACGACGAUAAUACAUGUUAAAAUUAAAAUUAGCGCGCACGAAGGACGACCAUGUCAAUUGAUAUCGAAGCUCGUGCGUAUGUAUACGCAUAGAUUAUACGAGUUUGUCUGCGAGUUCCUCUUGGUGCAACGAGUCGAGACUGUUGCUACAUACGAGACAAUAUGUCGCGCAGGUUAUCGACUAACGUGUCCGGAACCAAAAAUAUUCGAUUUAUCUCGCAAAGAGCCAACGAGAUAAUACGUCCUUUCUCCUGAAAUAUCGUCGUCGAAGCGGGGGAAAAGAAAGUUUAAUGUCUUUAUUUACUUCCGCCAUAAUAGAUUCGUCAAAAAUCAUUCCUAGAAAUAGAAGAAAAUAUUGAAGUCGCGAUAAAACGCUAUCGAGAAAUUUCGCGAGUCGAGGGGGAAAUUUGUUCCAACAAGUGCGUUAAGGAUUACAUCAUUUCUUCGGUUUAUUUCGUAAACACCCUGGAAAAAGAGUCAACAACGAAUGAUGAUGAUAUUCGGAGAAGGAGAACUGCUACCAGAAUCGAAGGAAGAUUCAAGAAACUCGAAGACCUGCGAUGGACGAAUCGAUUAGAUCGUUUAGAUCGAUAGGCGAAAAAUUAUCGAACCGUCAAGAGCUGUUAAUCGAUAUUACUAUCGAUGGAUUGCACGUGUAUUCGCUUGAAAUCGAAGCGCGUACGUGACGCAGGUCAUGCCUACUUCGCGGAUCCGAACAAACGACUAAAUAAUUCUAAAUCGUUCUUAUCUCAUUUGCGUAUCGUUUAAUAGACGACAAUAGACGAGCCGGCUCGAACUCGUACGCAUAGGAUGGAAAAAAAUGGCGAGAACUUUUUCGAACGGUUUGCCAUCUCAUUCGACCGCGACAGCUUUGUGAAUGACUCGUUCAUUGAUUCGGCCAUUGAUUCGGCCAUUGAUUCGGCCAUUGAUUCGGCCAUUGAUUCGGUCAUUGAUUCGGCCAUUGCGAAAAGUCGUAACUUUCAAGGUUCACGCGUACUCACUUUGAUCGGCAAGGUCUUAACGCGGGGCUUCAAAGAUAUUUUCCAUAACUCGAAACGUCGACGGAUCUUCUUCUUUCGGAACGGAUAAUUCGAGACUGAACGUUUUCGGGCGACGAUACGUGUAUAUUUAUUAUUGUAAUCGUGGACGACUCGGGAAACUGUCUGAUGUAAUAUCGCUAUGAUAACGUUACGCCAGGGGAAAUUCGUUUCGUUGCAUACGUGCAGAAUGGCAUGGAAAAAUAGUUUUCGUAAUAAAACGUAUCUACGAUAACGCGAGGAGAUACUUUUAGCUAAGCGUAUAUUUCCUGUAGUAAUAGGUGAUAAUAUUUUGCGCAGUUAUAUUAGAAAGAAUAAAUCAAUAAGCUGGACCCUAGUUUUGUACUACCUUGUGUAGCGUUACACAUUUUACAUACCACGUUGCGAUAUUCCACGUAACUUUUUACGAAGCAAUCAUCUUAACGGACAAAUUGUUAAAACUAUAAUAUAUCGCGUUUUCUCGAUUUCCCUUGGUUUAUGGGCUCCCUUUUUCUCAUGGACAAAGAAAUAUAUCGCCCAAAUCGCAGGAACGACUUCCCGCUUCCGUUUGAUUUCGAACGAGAAGCAAACGUUGAGUCUAUAUUAGGUGACAAGAGUGGCGAUUAGUAAACGGAACCGAAGAAAUACGAGUGCCUCUCGUAGAAACUGUUAUCUGCCCUCGAUAUAAACUAACUGCGUCCAAGUAGACACGAGGGUACUUCAAAACGGAAGUUCCUUGUCGCAAAUGCAUACUUUGCUUCCGUUGGACGAUACGCAAAGGAAGUAUAAUAUUCUAACCAUAAACGCAGUUUUCCCGUUCCAUGUCCCUUCGUAAACGUAGACGAAUGAAAUCCAUUAAUAGAAUACGUAGACGUACGAGACCCAAAUUUGUAAACGACCUUCUUUACGGACUACUAUCCCCCCAUUAUCGAUAUUGACACUCGAUAUCGGACUUUUCUCUCGAGUGUUCUAUCAGACCAACUAUUGACACAUUUAUUUUGCGUUGAAAAUAAAUAACUUUUGCUACGUAUAUUGUUAUUUAAUAGUACGUUACACGCGCGGCGAAUCGAUUGGAAAAAAGUGGACCGACCGGUGAUAAGUCGACCUCGUUCCAAUAAUCUUUUUAUUCGUCUUUUAUUCCUUAAGAAUAAGAAUGAUAAAUGUUUGUCGUUUAUCGUCAAUUUGAAUCCGUCCGACGAAAGUGAGUAGGGCAUAAAUAAUUAUAUAAUUAUUCGCGAAGAAAGGUAAAAUGGAAGAGGAACGUCUCGUUCGUACGAUGAAAAUGUCGAGAAUAGAAAAAAGAAGAAAAGGAAGAGCUUCGGCGGGCAUAGUUCGCUUUGUCCGUUCGAAUUUCCGUCGAGAUCUAUACGCACGCGUCCACGCAUACGUAAAAAAAGGUCUUGGAAAUUCGAUCGGCGUGAAAAUCGAAGAGGAGCCCCCGCGUGGAAACUUUUUAGAUUUAAAAUCCAUCGGUUCUCGAAAUGGUUGUUCGUUAAAUCCGACGAGGAAAGAAUCGAAAAGAUAUUUUUGAUCGGUUCUUCGGAUAUUUUGAACGCAAUGACGUAUAUAUACCCGCUCUAUCAAUUAUCUAAAGCAAAUAUUGCAUGCAUUAAUGGACGUUUACGAUACUUUCAGCUUCGAUACGAACGCGCUUGUUCCAUCAGGUUGCAUCACUUUUUUCGUUACAUUUUUGUAUCGAUACGUCGAGCUAACGUAAAAAUAUAUUAUCGACGAUGAAACUCUCGGUCCGACCUUGCGCGGCAAGAUGAUAGAGUUAUAUUCCUUUAAUCGUGUCGAUCGUUUCGUUCGCGUCUCGAUAUCGCGCAAUUUUCGAACGUUUUAAAUAAGUUUUCGUUCUCGAUAUUUAUUCACGUGUCAUAACGGUUAUCUGCUCGAUAAGCAGUUUGCCAUAAGUAAUAGAAAAUAAAUGAUAUCUUGAUUCCGCUCUUGGAAAGAGUAGUACAUAUGAAAUUCGAAACGACGACUCGUAAUUAUUUCGUUCAUAGGUGUACGAAAUAAUGGGUAACUUUAAUGGGUAACUUUCUCGAUGGAAAGUUCCGUCUCGAAAUGGCACGAGUUAGAAAAUGAUAUUAACGGAGUCCGCGUCGCGGUCCGAAGUUGCAAUUUGCGAAAUGCGCACACCUCGCUAAACUACCUACACAUCUCGCGCGUGGAGGAAUACCGGUCUAAAGUCCGGGACGAGGAACCGACGAAAAAUGCUUCGAACCGGUUCAAGCUCGUUUCGUUUGCGCCUAUAAAAUGUACGCACGGAGGCGGUGGAAGAAAAAAUAUUGAAAAAGGGAUAAGAAAAGCUACGAAGGUAAAGCUUCGGGAGAAAAAGAAACGAGAGCUCCACCUCCAACGUCCGGUCUGUCUUCCUUCGCAACCUUCCUCUUAUAAAAGAAGAUAACAUCGAGAAAGAAGGAGAGGAUUAUUAUUCUUAUCGUUGCUACGGACCGAGUCGUCGAGAAUUAUUCUCGCCUCCCGAGAUAACGAGUAUAACGCGAUCUACAAAAAUCGCUCGAACCCGAUAUUUUGUCUGCCUGCGUGCCACCUUCUAAAUAAUUAGAACGAAAAAAAAAAAAAAGAAAAAUGAAGGAUUUUACGGAAAGAUAAAUCGAUCGAAAUUUGAAAAUAACGUGCCACGCGCGUAUCCCGUAUAACGGCUAGCUCGCACGCGUUUCCAAGGGGUUGCGGUUAAUUUAAGUCGAGGCUGUUUUGCUCCUGGUCUCCCCUCUUCCCCUUCAUUCUCCGAAGCAUCCUUUUCCUCGUCCGGUUUCUCUCUCGACGGUAAAGCUGCCAGCUGCUCGAGCUGCUGCUUAUUAUAUAUAUAUAUAUGUACAUAUGCACGUAUAUACACGGAAAUACAAUUGGGCAGGAUGCGAGCAUCCUUUUCGAAAUAAAUACUAGGAUGUCGACGAAAAGCUUACCUCGGCCUUCAAAACUAUCGUAUUUCUUUUUAACGAUUACAGUACUUUGAACGUCACGAUUGAUACGUAACGCGAGCGUGACGUCGAAAAGUAUUUCUAAUCGAUCGAUUAAGAUUAUUCGACUACGUAAAUACGUACAACUAAUACAGAAUUUUUUCCAUUCAUGUAUUUUUCAUAUUAUCUUAUUCUUAGUAAAAAGAAAUAAUUUGCGCGUCAUUCUUUAUUCGUUUAAAAUCCAUUUGAAUAAAACAUCGAUCGAAAACAUAACGUUAGAAAGGUUUGUAUACGCAUACAUAAUAUAGGAAGAAUCGGAUUUUACGUGGACGCGGGUGAUUCAUAAAUCGUAAGAAAUAUUUGUCUUGCGAAAAAGAGAGAGAGAGAGAGAGAGAGAGAGAGAGAAAGCACGUGCUCUUUGGUCACCCGCUCACCCCGGAGCUAUCGUUAAUGACUACGUACUACGAUUGCGUCAACUCGUCGUUGAAAAAAAUAGAAAAAUACAAUCGAUACGAUUUCGAAGUAGCCUGCGGUGGAACGACUCCGUUCUUUAUCGACUACCACUAAUCGCCGAGCCAAGGUGUACCGAUUAUGCGUGCGCGUCUAUUUGAAAAUGACGAUAGAAACAAACGAUACAUUUAUUUGGACGAUCUUAUUCUGAGAAACGUUAAGUAGACGCCUAAUUGAAUGCAAAAUAUUCGAGCGUUUUCUAAUUCGGAGAGCCUAUUGUCUUCUUCGAAAGCGAGCGACAACUUUGAUGUAUCCGUCUUGUAAAAAAUCCAUUUUAAUCGCGUCGUAUAUCAUACGAAAGAACGAUAAGAUUAUUUCCAGUAGUCUUCCUUUUACCGACAUUCGAGUUUGCGUCGUCUCGCGGUAGACUUUAAAACGUGGCUGCAGAAUUGUAUUCGCAUUAACGCAAUAACGUAACACGCAACUAGCGUGACUUGCAACGAGCACGCGUAAGGAAAAAGAAGCAAUUUCUUUCGCUAUUGGUGUAAUCGAGACUUAGGAAGUAUCAACGACAUUUCAGUUCUACGAGAAAGACAGAGACGAGCCGAUAAUUGCUACACACCGUAUAUUCUCUCGAUUCCGAUCGAUCGAUCGAUCGAUCGAUCGCUAACUUUGCUCGAAGCAUCGCACCUGUUCGAACCGUGAUCGUUUCGAAAUCGACCAACCGACUUCUUUCCCAAACUUAUUAACCAAUCCUGACCGAACGGACACGUUUCCGUAAUAAUUAAUAUCUCCUAAGAUCGAUGCAAAAGCUAAAUUUGUAGGUAUCGUUUGAUCGCAAAAGGAAUACAUAUCUAUCCCAUGUUUCUUUCCGAAAAAUACAAAUUUCCGAUUAGUCGAAGAAAAUAAACAAUUAUAAAUCUAAUCUCUUCUCUGUUUAGUAAUUAAAAAGGUAAGCUUUUUUCGCGUUUAAGUAGAGAUAAAUGGCACGUGCGAGAGCCGACGAUAACGACGUCUUUCCUAAUCUAAUCCUUAACGACUGCGAAGUCCCGCAUGCGUAUUGACUCGACGAAUGAAUCGAAAGAUCUAACGAUAAGUAAGCCUUAGAAAAGAGCUUUCCGUUGAGAGGCACGUACUCGUAUCCCCUUGUAUCCUCGCUACGAAAAAUGAGUAUACGUACUUGUAAGUAGGUUUACGCAUUGGAAGGAUCGAGCGCGAUCGGAAUAAUUCCCAUGUUCCUCCCCUCCUUCGACCUUCGCCUCGGUCGAGUCUCUCCAGACGCGUCGAGCUGGCCCAGCCAAGAUCGCGAGAUAGAGUUGCCAGCAUUGACUUCAAGGCCAAAUCGCUACGAGCUUUUCUAAUGUCGCGGAUCGAUAUUUCGCCGAGUCCAAGGACCCUUUCGCGACGACGAAUAACGAAGGUCUUUGCCGCGAUCCAAAGACUCCUUCCUAUCCAGUUAUCGUGCUUUACCGAUGAAAAAGGAUAUCUAUGUACGCGUUCGACGAUAAAUCGUGCUAUCUCGCGACGUAUCCUCGCUUCGAUGACCCAGUUACACGGUUAAACUCGGCGACCCCUCGGUAUUUAAGAUCAUUUGGAGAGACGGACGGCGAAGAAGGAGGGAAGCCGACGGCCGAGCAGCGCUCCUUAAAUAAACUCGUGCACGGACUAGUUGCCAUCCGUCCGUUUCUACCGUAACGUCCGCGAUGUAUCCGAAACGAGACAAAUACUCUUAAAGGAUAAUGACAUCCGACAAGAACGUAUUCUUUCCCCUCGUCGAGAGAGCAUUAAUACGUCUUCCUCCUCUGUCGUCUCUCAACGAUCCAGUUUUGCGCGGUUCUUCCUGCUCCACCGUGGGACUUUUUUAGCAACGAAUUAGAGACGACCAGCCGGAUGUACCGUAUAUCCCUACCGUAUAUCUCUACCAUAUAUCUAGUCGAAGCUACCUCGCUACGAAAUCAAUCGGAAAAUGUCUUUUAUUUGCUAUGUAUAUUACUUUUCAUAUAUAUCAAUGUACUCCGUUAA
RNAcentral lists this long non-coding RNA (6782 nucleotides) under Polistes fuscatus (common paper wasp). RNAcentral describes it as "uncharacterized LOC122515949". The record is from RNAcentral. Lineage: Eukaryota; Metazoa; Arthropoda; Insecta; Hymenoptera; Vespidae.